UGGGGAAUAUUGGACAAUGGGGGCAACCCUGAUCCAGCCAUGCCGCGUGAACGAUGAAGGCCUUCGGGUUGUAAAGUUCUUUUGACAGGGAAGAUGAUGACUGUACCUGUAGAAUAAGCACCGGCUAACUUCGUGCCAGCAGCCGCGGUAAUACGAAGGGUGCUAGCGUUGUUCGGAAUUACUGGGCGUAAAGGGCGCGUAGGCGGGUCGACAAGUUGGAUGUGAAAGCCCAGGGCUCAACCCUGGAAUUGCAUUCAAGACUGUCUUUCUUGAAUUCGGUAGAGGUUGGUGGAAUUCCCAGUGUAGAGGUGAAAUUCGUAGAGAUUGGGAAGAACACCCGUGGCGAAGGCGGCCAACUGGACCGACAUUGACGCUGAGGCGCGAAAGCGUGGGGAUCAAACAGG
RNAcentral lists this ribosomal RNA (404 nucleotides) under uncultured bacterium. RNAcentral describes it as "bacterial SSU rRNA". It matches the Rfam family "Bacterial small subunit ribosomal RNA", at positions 355 to 776 of the family's 1533-position model. The record is from RNAcentral.